This 498-nucleotide ribosomal RNA is filed under the name uncultured bacterium. RNAcentral's name for it is "partial 16S ribosomal RNA". It matches the Rfam family "Bacterial small subunit ribosomal RNA", at positions 28 to 507 of the family's 1533-position model. The record is from RNAcentral.
GACGAACGCUGGCGGCGUGCCUAAUACAUGCAAGUCGAACGAGAGCGACCGGUGCUUGCACUGGUCAAUCUAGUGGCGAACGGGUGAGUAACACGUGGGUAACCUGCCCAUCAGAGGGGGAUAACAUCCGGAAACGGAUGCUAAAACCGCAUAGGUCUUCGAACCGCAUGGUUUGAAGAGGAAAAGAGGCGCAAGCUUCUGCUGAUGGAUGGACCCGCGGUGCAUUAGCUAGUUGGUGAGGUAACGGCUCACCAAGGCCGUGAUGCAUAGCCGACCUGAGAGGGUGAUCGGCCACAUUGGGACUGAGACACGGCCCAAACUCCUACGGGAGGCAGCAGUAGGGAAUCUUCCGCAAUGGACGCAAGUCUGACGGAGCAACGCCGCGUGAGUGAAGAAGGUUUUCGGGUCGUAAAACUCUGUUCUUAGAGAAGAACAAGUGCUAGAGUAACUGUUAGCGCCUUGACGGUAUCUAACCAGAAAGCCACGGCUAACUACGUG